This 484-nucleotide ribosomal RNA is filed under the name uncultured bacterium. RNAcentral's name for it is "partial 16S ribosomal RNA". It matches the Rfam family "Bacterial small subunit ribosomal RNA", at positions 30 to 507 of the family's 1533-position model. The record is from RNAcentral.
AUUGAACGCUGGCGGCCGGCCUAACACAUGCAAGUCGAGCGGAUGAAGGACGAUUGCUCCUGGCUUCAGCGGCGGACGGGUGUGUAAUGCCUAGGAAUCUGCCUGGCAGUGGGGGAUAACGCCUGGAAACGGGCGCUAAUACCGCAUACGUCCUGAGGGAGCAAGUGGCGGAUCUUCGGACCUCACGCUAUCAGAUGAGCCUAGGUCGAAUUAGCUCGUUGGCGGGGUAAAGGCCUACCAAGGCGACGAUCCGUAACUGGUCUGAGAGGGUGAUCAGUCACGCUCGAAUUGAGACACGAGCCAGACUCCGAGGGAAGGCAGCAGUUUGGAAUAUUGGAGAAGGAGCGAAAUCCUGGUACAGCCAUACCGCGUGUGCAAAUAAGGUGUUCGUAUUGUAAAUCACAUGAGGUUGGGGGGAACGGCAGAUAGUUAUAGCCUUGCUGUUUGGAGGUUACCAACAGAAUAGGCCAGGGCUAGCUUCAUG